Cornus florida is the source of this 4287-nucleotide long non-coding RNA. RefSeq lists it as uncharacterized. The transcript has 4 exons. The record is from RefSeq and is a predicted model, not a curated record. NCBI's taxonomy places the organism in Eukaryota, Viridiplantae, Streptophyta, Magnoliopsida, Cornales, Cornaceae.
UGUUAUCCUGUUCACUGCAUUUGAUCUUCAUUAUUGCAAUUGUAAACAUUCUUGCUAAGAAUUGAUACGAUGUCAUCCUAGAGUUUACUUGUCACAUCAUUGCAGCAUUUUCUUGUGUUUUAGUUUUAUGAAUGCACGUUGCUUUAUUUAUGCACAUCAUAGCCUAUGCUUAUUUUGUUGAUCAUGUUUUUGCUCAAAUUGUUCUAUAUGUGACUUUUCUACCCUCUAUGCCAUCAUUGCAUAUAUGAUCUAUUUUAUUUAGAUAAGGUAUGUUAAAUAAUGAUUCUGAAGCUUUCUUAUUCAUUUCUUGCACAAGCAUGAUCCUAUCUGUUUACCCUAUCUAGUCUUACUUGAUUCAGGCAUGCUUUGUGUUUUCUUAUCAGUUGCUUACCUUAUCCUAAACAUGUGCACUAAUUUAAAAUUGUUUUGCAGAUGUAGCAUCGAAGAAAGACUCUUGCCAGGAAACGAGUUCCCCCAGUGCCACAGCCUGUACCUCCAGUUGCAGAGUCUCCCUCUUCAACUUCUUCUUCCUCGGCAUCAGUUCAUUCUAAUACAUCUGCCAUGGAUAUCGAGCAUGCCAUUGUUAGAGAGGUCCCCACUGAGUUUUAUGCUAGUAGAGCCUGGAGACCGAGCAUAGAUUUGAUAUAACUACAUUUGCUACAUUGGACCAGACUAGAUGGUCUUAUGAUGAGUUUGUGAGACGGGGUAGCACAGCCAUUAUGACUCCUGCAGACAUAGUUGUCUAUCCCCGGUUGGUUGCUCUCUUCUAUCAGCACCUCCGGAUGGAUGAGGACGACAAAAUUCUACUGCACACCACCAUCAAUGGUCAGGAGAUAGACAUUUCUUUGCCGGCCAUAGCUGCUGCCAGCCGUUGCCCCCACACUUCUCCACUAGAUGAGGAUACUCAGGAGCCUCUCUACCCUGAUCAUCCACCAUUCCCUACUGAGCAGACCAUGGUUGCCAUAUUAUCACCACAGGUGGUAUAUGAGGGGCACAAAUUUUUAGACCGGGUUGAGAUAGAUCCCCAGUACUAGUUCUUCAACUCCGUGCUUCACCUCAAUACCUUCCCUACCGGUCGUGGCACUUAGAGGAGAGAGGGCAUAUUUUAGGCUUUAUAUUGUUUACAUCAGGGAUACUGGAUCUCCAUUCCUGCGCUCAUCUAGGAGCUUAUCCACAAGUUCUGGAAGAACUUGCAUUUUACAUCUACCACCAGAGCUGAGACCUAGCUGUUACCUUUUAGCCAUCUUAUCACACAGCUGCUCAUCGACCAAGGAUACCAGUUUGACCCUGAAGAGAUCCCAGAGCCCGACAAUGACAGGGCAAAAAGAGCUUAUGAUCUGACCAAGUGGAAUAAGACUUUCAAUGCUUGCCGCAAAAACAAAGCCAAUAGGGACAUGAAGAGAUUACAAGCACAGUUACAGAGAGAGGUAGCAUAGGAAGUAGCAGUAAGCGAUGCUCCAGAGGAUGAUACAGCUGAUAGAUCUCCUCCUAGACAAAGACGUCGCGUUACUAUUUCCGGAUCCACCCCCCAGCCAAAUGUACUGGCUGCAUCACAGCAAACCAUCCUCCCGCACUGAUUCUAGCUACAGAUCAGAGGUAGCUCAGUUGCAUACAGAUUUCAUAUCCUUCAGAGCUGACAUGACUGGUCGAUAUGAGGAUAUUUCGUGGAGGUAUGAUGACCUGGUGAGGAGACACGACGAUCUGGUAGGGAGACAUGAUGAUUUAGUUCGGAGAUCAAAUGCCCUGCGUGCUUAGGUAGCUAAGGUGAGACAUAAGCUUGGAGCUUUGAGGACUGACCUUACCACUUCGCUCACUCGCCUAGCUAAGGUGAGACAUGAGCUUGGAGCUUUAAGGACCGAUCUUACCACUUCGCUCACUCGCCAUAGCACCGAGAUGUCUGCCAUGCUGCAGCAUAUUUCUGACAUAAUUACUCCAGACCCCUCUGUUUGAUGCCAUCAUUUUCUCUCUCUCAUACUCAUUAUCUCUAUUGCUCUGACUGUGAUUUUUCUCCAUCAUAUUUAGAUUUUUGCACUGGUUUUCGAUAUUUUCCUGGAUACUUAUUUGGAUAUUUCUGUUAGAUACUGCUUUGGAUAUUUAUUCUUGGAUAUUUGAUAUUUGGAUAUUGUUUUAUAUGGUUGUUUUGGAUGCUUUCUGGAUAGUUGGUUUUGCACUUAUUUUUUAUAUAUGGAUUUUUGGAUAUUUGAUAUCAGUUUUGUAUGUUAUGAGCCAUAUCUUGCUAUAUGCCAUGAUUUUUGCCCAGUUCUCAGUUUUACUUCUCAAAUAUAUCAUUGAUGCAUAUGCUUUGACAGUUGUUAGUGUGACCAUUUUCAGACAGGUUUUUGGAAUCUAAGUUUGGGGGUGCACCUUCCAAAGCUAAGCUUUCGUUGCCGGGUCCCUUUUGCUUCACCCAUUUGGUAUACUCUUUCCAUUAUCUAUUGCUUCUUUGUACAUUAAGGACAAUGUACAGAUUAAGUUUGGGGGUGUAUUAACAUAUCUUACAUGUUGUACUUCAUUUCUAUGCGUGUGGUAUGAUUUGAGAGUCUGGGCUAUGAUUUUGAUCUUUUGAGGGCCAUGAUACUUAGAAUUUAAAGAAAUUGCUUGACUUGAGAGUCCAAUACUCCUUGUAUGCCUUGUGGAUGCCAUUUAGGAAAAUUUUUUCGAAAGAUUGAUAUCUUGUUCGCAUUUGUGGUCCACAUUAUUCUAAUUUUGUGAUUGUUUUAAGAUGCACUCUAGGAUUCUACACUAGCAUAAGCGCACAAUAGCAUUCAUUUGUGGGGAACAUGCUAUGUUGAUUAUUGAAUUGGUUAUAUCCCAAUUGGGCUAAUAGUGCAUUGAAAGCUUUCAUUUUGACAAAAGUAGAUAAUAAUCCCUUUUCAUUGAGUAGCAGGGAUUCUAGCCUCAUCAAGCACUGAAUUUCUUGCGCCGAAAGGUGGAGGACCCAAACUCUAGGUUAAUAAUUGAACUUAAAAAAAAAAAAAAAAAAAAAAGUUACAAAAGCAAUAAAAAAGUGAGGACUUCUCCCAAAAGGUGAGAAGUGGGAAAUGAUUAGAUGGAGGUUUUUUUAUAUAUGUAGCUUAGUUGAUUUGAGCUUAUAAGUCCUUAGGGGUGUUUGAACACCUAAUGCCCUAAAGCCAUCCGGUUUGGGAGUCAUUGACCUAACGCUCGACUUCAUGGAUCGCUAGAAAGCUUAAUAGAUCAACACAUUGCACCAUGCUACCAUCUUUGAUCCUUAGGAUAGUAAAAAAAAAAAAAUCGAGUGAAAAGAAUAAGCAUACCUAGUUGAAUAAGCUUUAAUAAAAGGUCCACUCUUUGUUUUGAUGAUCGGGACUAGAUUUGUGUGCUAGUUUGAGGGUAAAGAUGUGAUCAUUUCUUUAGUUGGCUUAGAUAACAACAUAUUUGAUGUCAGUUCACUCAAAAAGGAUUCUAAUGUUUUUUUGAUUUGCAUAAUCAUUCUCUUGAUGUGUGGAAGACCAUACACUACAACAAAUGUGACCCUUUGUGAUGAAAAUUUUAGCAACAAAAUUGAUUUUGUGAGUAAAGGUAGCUCUUUAGUAACGACCAUAAUCUUUGUCACAAAAAGAAUAUACUUUAGUGUCGAAAUAUAACGUUGGUCACUACAUGUUACAUUUUAAUGGCUAAAGAUUAUAUCGUCUCCCUUUUCUCUAUACUAGGUCGUAUCCCUAAGAAUUAGACUUUCUAAAAAUAACCCAUCCCCAUAUUAUAUCUUAAAGACAAAAAUCACAUCUAAUCUUAAUUACCUCAUAAUGAAAAAACACUGGUAUACCCUAAUGACCCCCAAAAAUUUUCCUUUGAUUUCCCAUCGCGCCUAAUUUACACACGAUUUCUCAUCUUCAAUAUAUAAUUGCCCCCACACAAAAGGGUAGAGAGAAUGGCGAUGAAUAUAGGGAUGAUGGAUAAUGCGUACUUUGUUGGGAGGGGUGAGAUUCUCUCUUGGAUCAAUGCCAGGCUUUCAGCUCAAUCUAUCUCGUAUUGAGGAGGCUUGAUAAUUCUUAAAUUAGCGAGGAUUUUUACUGAUCAUACUCUGGCUUGAUAAUUCUUAAAUUAACGAGGCUUUUUACUGAUCAUACUCUGAGUGAUUGAUUGGGGAUGACAUGAAGAAAACGAAGUGCUCAGGGAAACGACGAACUAAAGUGACGAGAUUCGAUAAAAAGAACUUUGAAGUGUUACCAUAGAUGGAGAGUUGGGAGUUUACUUUUAUGUUUUAGUUUGGUCUUUUGUAUUAGACAAUUGAAAGUUUAGUUUAUAUUUUGCCUUAGAAUUGAACAA